Molecule: ribosomal RNA, 465 nt
Filed under: uncultured bacterium
Lineage: Bacteria
Description: partial 16S ribosomal RNA
Rfam family: Bacterial small subunit ribosomal RNA
Source: RNAcentral
GAUGAACGCUGGCGGCGUGCUUAACACAUGCAAGUCGAACGGAAAGGCUCCUGCUUGCCGGGGUACUCGAGUGGCGAACGGGUGAGUAACACGUGGGUGAUCUGUCCUGCACUUCGGGAUAAGCCUGGGAAACUGGGUCUAAUACCGGAUAGGACGAUGGUUUGGAUGCCAUUGUGGAAAGUUUUUCGGUGUGGGAUGAGCUCGCGGCCAAUUAGCUUGUUGGUGGGGUAAUGGCAUACCAAGGCGUCGACGGGUAGCCGGCCUGAGAGGGUGUACGGCGACAUUGGUACUGAGAUACGGCCCAGAAUCCUACGGGAGGCAGCAGGGGGGAAUAUUGCACAAUGGGCGCAAGCCUGAUGCAGCGACGCCGCGUGGGGGAUGACGGCCUUCGGGUUGUAAACUCCUUUCGCUAGGGACGAAGCGCAAGUGACGGUACCUGGAGAAGAAGCACCGGCUAACUACGUG